CAGCAGCGCGGGAAUACGAAGGGUGCAAGCGUUACUCGGAAUUACUGGGCGUAAAGCGUGCGUAGGUGGUGGUUUAAGUCCGUUGUGAAAGCCCUGGGCUCAACCUGGGAAUUGCAGUGGAUACUGGGUCACUAGAGUGUGGUAGAGGAUAGUGGAAUUUCCGGUGUAGCAGUGAAAUGCGUAGAGAUCGGAAGGAACAUCUGUGGCGAAGGCGACUAUCUGGGCCAACACUGACACUGAGGCACGAAAGCGUGGGGAGCAAACAGGAUUAGAUACCCCAGUAGUCCCUGUCUCUUAUACA
Molecule: ribosomal RNA, 301 nt
Filed under: uncultured bacterium
Lineage: Bacteria
Description: partial 16S ribosomal RNA
Rfam family: Bacterial small subunit ribosomal RNA
Source: RNAcentral